Non-coding RNA from Ictidomys tridecemlineatus (thirteen-lined ground squirrel), 1167 nucleotides. The record is from RefSeq and is a predicted model, not a curated record. NCBI's taxonomy places the organism in Eukaryota, Metazoa, Chordata, Mammalia, Rodentia, Sciuridae.
GGAUCCCCCCACUCCGACUUCUCUGAAGCCGCUGCCUUCCCUGGGAAGAUGCUGUCUGCUUGUCAGCGGGGUGUGAGUCACGGAGCAGGGACAGGCUGCCGAGGCACAGAAGGCCAUUCCUCCAGCCAAGGCUCCCAGGGGACCUCAUUUGGGGGCCACCAUCCAUUCAGUCCCCAUGUGUCCUGGAUGCACCAGAGGUUCUGAGUCUCAGACCCCCGCUGGCCUGCCUGGGCCUUUGCUGUGGCCACUGGCCCCUGCACUUGGUCGCUUACUCCUGGUGACGCGAGGAGGCCCAGCCCUGAGUGGGAUUCCAAGGGACUUGGGGUGCCCAGGGCUCUGCUUGGACUCUGACCUGGAGAUCGAGGGGAUGCUGUCCAUUCAUUCAUUCAACAAACCGCGCCCACUGCGUACCUGCGCUGGGUACCAUGGAGAACACACUGGACGAGCCUUGACCUAGGGCUGCGCGAGCCCCUGCGUGACAGAGCACAGAGGUGCGGCCCGUGGAGGGAGGGAGCUGGGUCAGGAAGGCUGCCCCCGGGCAGACACCUCAGGCCGAGCUCGAGCUCGGAAGGCGAGGCCUGCGCGGAGCUGCAGGGCCUGAGGCCUGGGGGCUGAGGGAGUCCGGAGAGACUGAUGCCGACGGCUCCUGGGUGCUGUCAGGCCUCUUUGUGGACCUGCAGGUCUGGGGAGGCCUGGUCUCUCACCCGUGGCAUGUCCACUGCCUGCCCCGUCUGGCACUCCGGGGGCCUUGGCCCCUGAGCGUGGCUGUGUUGGAAGGCCCUGGAGGGAAGCGGCUCAGGAUGUGGCUCUCGGGACUCAGGCAUUUCCCAUGUCCCACCCCGCACCCGGCUCCUCUGACGUCCACUGGACAGCCCUCCUCUGCCACCCUGCCUCUGACAACCUCACCGUUGGAGGGAGUUGGGAAGGAGACCCUGGGCUUCCUCCUGGCCCCGGGGGCUCAUCUCACUCCACCCUCAGACGGGUUUGUCUGCCCUCCUGCCCUCCUGCCCAGGGUGGACGCUGCAGCUGCCCACUGUGCCUCCUGCCCCCAAACCACAUGGGCAGCAGGGUGCCCCAGAGCUUCCCUUGAGCCCUAUGCUGUUGUGUGCGGGGCCCGGGGCGCUGCCUGGCCGCCCCUGUCCUUGGCGGAGGCUCUGGGUGCCUGGG